RNAcentral lists this ribosomal RNA (497 nucleotides) under uncultured bacterium. RNAcentral describes it as "partial 16S ribosomal RNA". It matches the Rfam family "Bacterial small subunit ribosomal RNA", at positions 28 to 507 of the family's 1533-position model. The record is from RNAcentral.
GAUGAACGCUGGCGGCGUGCCUAAUACAUGCAAGUCGAGCGAACAGACGAGGAGCUUGCUCCUCUGACGUUAGCGGCGGACGGGUGAGUAACACGUGGAUAACCUACCUAUAAGACUGGGAUAACUUCGGGAAACCGGAGCUAAUACCGGAUAACAUGUUGAACCGCAUGGUUCAACAGUGAAAGACGGUCUUGCUGUCACUUAUAGAUGGAUCCGCGCCGCAUUAGCUAGUUGGUAAGGUAACGGCUUACCAAGGCAACGAUGCGUAGCCGACCUGAGAGGGUGAUCGGCCACACUGGAACUGAGACACGGUCCAGACUCCUACGGGAGGCAGCAGUAGGAAAUCUUCCGUAAUGGGCGAAAGCCUGACGGAGCAACGCCGCGUGAGUGAAGAAGGUCUUCGGAUCGUAAAACUCUGUUAUUAGGGAAGAACAAAUGUGUAAGUAACUAUGCACGUCUUGACGGUACCUAAUCAGAAAGCCACGGCUAACUACGUG